CUGAGGUUGGGACAGAUGCGUCGAAGCGGACUGGAUCUAAGACUGCAGCUGGGGUUGUUGCGGAGCAAAUUGAAUGGGCUGUUGCUGGGGUUGAGACGCCCAGGUGCCUUGCGGAUUGAUCCACUGAUUAUGCGGAAUCUGGCCUGGGUAGUAGCUCCACGGAGCGCCUUGGUAGUUGUAGCCAUACCCCUGGAAUUGAGUCUGAGAAGUAUUUCUGUAGUGUCAGGCA
Brachypodium distachyon (stiff brome) is the source of this 229-nucleotide non-coding RNA. Lineage: Eukaryota; Viridiplantae; Streptophyta; Magnoliopsida; Poales; Poaceae. The record is from RefSeq and is marked provisional.